Oryza meridionalis is the source of this 205-nucleotide non-coding RNA. Lineage: Eukaryota; Viridiplantae; Streptophyta; Magnoliopsida; Poales; Poaceae. The record is from Rfam.
UUGAAGUGCAACCAUAAGUUUCCGCGUCCAACUUUAAUCGUCCGUCUUAUUUAAAUUUAUUUUAUAAUUAGUAUUUUUAUCAUUAUGAGAUGAUACAACAUGAAUAAUCCUUUAUACGUAACUUAUGUUUUUAAAUUUUUUCAAAAGUUUUUCAAAUAAGACGGACGGUCAAAGUUGCGCACAAAAAAUUGUGGCUGCACUUAAA